CAACCCCUGCGGCGUUCGCGAGGGCCGAGCGUUUUUUGAGCCAAUGCUCAUGUUUUGGGAAUCUACUCUGGCCGUGGUGCGCAAGUCCGCAGACCGGGAGCAAGAGGAUCGCUCCUCUCCCUCCGGCGGGUCUGAUCGGAAAGCCUGAAGCGGCCAUACCCGAUUCCCACCUGGUAAACCAGGUUCAAAAAACAGGCCGCACGGCGCAUGCGGGGGUUUC
RNAcentral lists this non-coding RNA (220 nucleotides) under Nitrospinota bacterium. RNAcentral describes it as "6S RNA". It matches the Rfam family "6S / SsrS RNA". Rfam says of the family: E. coli 6S RNA was the first non coding RNA to be sequenced, but its function was unknown until recently. It consists of 184 nucleotides that fold into an extended hairpin structure with a large single-stranded internal bulge. The record is from RNAcentral. Lineage: Bacteria; Pseudomonadati; Nitrospinota.